This 497-nucleotide ribosomal RNA is filed under the name uncultured bacterium. Its description in RNAcentral is "partial 16S ribosomal RNA". It matches the Rfam family "Bacterial small subunit ribosomal RNA", at positions 28 to 507 of the family's 1533-position model. The record is from RNAcentral.
GAUGAACGCUGGCGGCGUGCCUAAUACAUGCAAGUCGAGCGAACGGACGAGAAGCUUGCUUUUCUGAUGUUAGCGGCGGACGGGUGAGUAACACGUGGAUAACCUACCUAUAAGACUGGGAUAACUUCGGGAAACAGGAGCUAAUACCGGAUAAUAUUUUGAACCGCAUGGUUCAAAAGUGAAAGACGGUCUUGCUGUCACUUAUAGAUGGAUCCGCGCUGCAUUAGCUAGUUGGUAAGGUAACGGCUUACCAAGGCAACGAUGCAUAGCCGACCUGAGAGGGUGAUCGGCCACACUGGAACUGAGACACGGUCCAGACUCCUACGGGAGGCAGCAGUAGGGAAUCUUCCGCAAUGGGCGAAAGCCUGACGGAGCAACGCCGCGUGAGUGAUGAAGGUCUUCGGAUCGUAAAACUCUGUUAUUAGGGAAGAACAUAUGUGUAAGUAACUGUGCACAUCUUGACGGUACCUAAUCAGAAAGCCAUGGCUAACUACGUG